This 78-nucleotide transfer RNA is filed under the name Salmonella enterica subsp. enterica serovar Moscow str. SA20061414. Its description in RNAcentral is "tRNA-Met". It matches the Rfam family "tRNA". From Rfam's summary of the family: Transfer RNA (tRNA) molecules are approximately 80 nucleotides in length. Their secondary structure includes four short double-helical elements and three loops (D, anti-codon, and T loops). Further hydrogen bonds mediate the characteristic L-shaped molecular structure. tRNAs have two regions of fundamental functional importance: the anti-codon, which is responsible for specific mRNA codon recognition, and the 3' end, to which the tRNAs corresponding amino acid is attached (by aminoacyl-tRNA synthetases). tRNAs cope with the degeneracy of the genetic code in two manners: having more than one tRNA (with a specific anti-codon) for a particular amino acid; and 'wobble' base-pairing, i.e. permitting non-standard base-pairing at the 3rd anti-codon position. The record is from RNAcentral. Lineage: Bacteria; Pseudomonadati; Pseudomonadota; Gammaproteobacteria; Enterobacterales; Enterobacteriaceae.
GGCUACGUAGCUCAGUUGGUUAGAAGCACAUCACUCAUAAUGAUGGGGUCACAGGUUCGAAUCCCGUCGUAGCCACCA